RNAcentral lists this unclassified non-coding RNA (555 nucleotides) under Hevea brasiliensis (rubber tree). Lineage: Eukaryota; Viridiplantae; Streptophyta; Magnoliopsida; Malpighiales; Euphorbiaceae. The record is from RNAcentral.
GGAGUCUCUGGUAUCUGCGGGUAGCCCUGUAGUAAAGAAAGUAACUAGUUCUGGUGAUUUGAGCCCUAUCAAGAUGACAGGACCACAUGGUAGUGUUUCUAGAGUUCCAUGUAUCUGGGAGGGGGAACUGCAGCUUACUAUUUCAUCCUUGGUUACAGUCUUUGGUUCGUUUAGAAGUGGUGAAAAGACACCAACUAACGGAUGGCCAAGCUCUCUUGAGAUCAAGGGUAGAGUUCGACUUGAUGCAUUUGAGAAAUUUCUUCAAGAGCUUCCUAUGUCACGAAGUCGUGCAGUCAUGGUUGUUCAAUUUGUUUUGAAGGAUAAGUCAUCUGAGAGGGAACGGGCAGACCUAUCUGAGGCAGUGCAUUCCUACGCUUCAGAUGAGAGGUUGGGGUUUGCGGAACCUGCUCCAGGAGUGGAACUAUAUCUGUGUCCACCACACAUACUCGAUAUGAUAAGCAAACACCUUUCCAAAGACCCUAAAGAGCUAUAUGAUUCUACAGAUAAUGGUCUAAUUGGCGUAGUUGUAUGGAGAAAACUUCAUAUAAGUUCAAC